GACGAACGCUGGCGGCGUGCUUAAUACAUGCAAGUCGAGCGAGGCCCAUCCAGUGGCAACACUGGGGAAGGCCGAGCGGCGAACGGGUGAGUAACACGUGAGCAACCUGCCCCGAAGUCUGGAAUAACAUCGGGAAACCGGUGCUAAUACCGGAUUGCCCCACCUGACCGCAUGAUCGGGUGAGGAAAGAUCUAUCGCUUCGGGAGGGGCUCGCGGCCUAUCAGCUAGNGGCGGGGUAACGGCCCACCAAGGCGUCGACGGGUAGCUGUCUGAGAGGACGACCAGCCACACUGGGACUGAGACACGGCCCAGACUCCUACGGGAGGCAGCAGUAGGGAAUCUUGCGCAAUGGGCGAAAGCCUGACGCAGCAACGCCGCGGUGGGGGAGUGACGG
Molecule: ribosomal RNA, 394 nt
Filed under: uncultured bacterium
Lineage: Bacteria
Description: bacterial SSU rRNA
Rfam family: Bacterial small subunit ribosomal RNA
Source: RNAcentral